GCUUAGAGUUUGAUCCUGGCUCAGGAUGAACGUUGGCGGCGUGCCUGAGAUAUGCAAGUCGAGCGAUCCCGACGUAAGUCGGGGAGCGGCGGACGGCUGAGUAACACGUAGGAAUCUACCCCUUUCUGGACCAUAGUUCGUCGAAAGACGGAGUAAUUGUCCAUGGUAUCCGACGUUACGUCGGAUUAAAGAGAUUAACUUCUCGGAAAGGGAUGAGCCUGCGGCUUAUCAUGGUAGUUGGUAAGGUAACGGCUUACCAAGCCUACGACGAGUAGCUGGCCUGAGAGGGUGGUCAGCCAGAGGGGGACUGAGACACGGCCCCCACUCCUACGGGAGGCAGCAAUCAGGAAUAGUCGGCAAUGGGCGAAAGCCUGACCGCGCGACGCCGCGUGUAGGAAGAAGCUCUUACAGAGUGUAAACUACUGUAGUAGGAGAGGAAGUCUCGACUUAGUCGGGAUUGACAGUACCCUACUAGAAAGGGGCCGCUAACUGCGUGCCAGAAGCGUCGGUAAUACGUGGGCCCCAAACGUUAUCCGGUUUUACUGGGUGUAAAAGGUCGUGUAGGUGUUCUGGUAAGUUUUUGUUUAAAGACUAAGGCUUAACCUUAGGAAAGACAAAAAUACUACCAGAAUUGAGUUAUCUUUAGGGAGAUUGGAACUCAAGGAGGAGUAGUGAAAUGCGUUGAUACCUUGGGGAUCACCAGUGGCGAAGGCGAAUCUCUGGAAGAUAACUGACACUGAGACACGAAAGCUAGGGGAGCGAAGCAGAUUAGAGACCUGCGUAGUCCUAGCCUUAAACGCAUGCUUGCUAGCCGCAUUCCCCGACUAUACGUCGGGGGGUGUAGCGAAGGUAACCCGUUAAGCAAGCUACCUGGGGAGUACGACCGCAAGGUUAAAACUCAAAGGAAUUGGCGGGGAGGCACACAACCAGUGGAACAUGUGGUUCAAUUCGAUACAAACCGAAGAACCUCACCAAGAUUUGACAUGCUAGCGUCCUAUUUCGCAGAAAUGCGGAAAAUUCGCAAGAAGGCUAGCACAGGUGCUGCAUGGCUGUCGUCAGCUCGUUCCGUGAGGAGUACCCUUAAGUGGGACAACGAGCGCAACCCUUGUCUUGUGUUAAAUCUGUCACAAGAUACUGCCCCGACGUAACGUCGGGGAGGAAGGAAAGGCAGACGUCAAGUCAGCAUGGUCCUUAUAUCUUGGGCUACACACAUGUUACAAUGAGAUGAACAGCGGGCUUUGCCAAACGGUAACGUUUUAGCAAAUCCCACAAAUCAUCUCUCAGUGGGGAUUGAGGUCUGCAACCCGACCUCAUGAACACGGAAUUGGUAGUAAUCGCGGAUCAGUCAUGUCGCGGUGAAUACGUUCUUGCCUCUUGCACACACCGCCCGUCAAGCCAACAAAGUCGGUGAUAUUCGAAUUCCGAUUUAAUCGGGAGAGAAUAUUGUCGGCGAUGGGGGUUAAGUCGUAACAAGGUAACCAAGCC
Molecule: ribosomal RNA, 1485 nt
Filed under: uncultured bacterium
Lineage: Bacteria
Description: bacterial SSU rRNA
Rfam family: Bacterial small subunit ribosomal RNA
Source: RNAcentral